AUACCUUUCUCGGCCUUUUGGCUAAGAUCAAGUGUAGUAUCUGUUCUUAUCAGUUUAAUAUCUGAUAUGUGAGUCAUCGACUCACACGAUAUUAAAUUAAUUUUUUUUGGGUGAAAGUUCACUACAGUGGCUUGCCAUUGGAACCUUCGAACGUUGUCAUUGUGUUGCACUAUCGCUUUGACUGGCGUAACUCUA
Small nuclear RNA from Zostera marina, 195 nucleotides. It matches the Rfam family "U2 spliceosomal RNA". Rfam says of the family: U2 is a small nuclear RNA (snRNA) component of the spliceosome (involved in pre-mRNA splicing). Complementary binding between U2 snRNA (in an area lying towards the 5' end but 3' to hairpin I) and the branchpoint sequence (BPS) of the intron results the bulging out of an unpaired adenosine, on the BPS, which initiates a nucleophilic attack at the intronic 5' splice site, thus starting the first of two transesterification reactions that mediate splicing. The record is from Rfam. NCBI's taxonomy places the organism in Eukaryota, Viridiplantae, Streptophyta, Magnoliopsida, Alismatales, Zosteraceae.